RNAcentral lists this signal recognition particle RNA (299 nucleotides) under Aotus nancymaae (Ma's night monkey). RNAcentral describes it as "Metazoan signal recognition particle RNA (ENSANAG00000011462.1)". It matches the Rfam family "Metazoan signal recognition particle RNA". From Rfam's summary of the family: The signal recognition particle (SRP) is a universally conserved ribonucleoprotein. The record is from RNAcentral. Lineage: Eukaryota; Metazoa; Chordata; Mammalia; Primates; Aotidae.
GCCGGGCGCAGUGUUGCAUGCCUGUGGUCCCAGCUACUUGGGAUGCUGAGGCUGGAGGAUCGCUUGAGCCAAGGAGUUCUGAGCUGUAGUGUGCUAUGCCAAUCGGGCAUCCAUGCUAAGUUCGGCAUCAAUAUGGUGACCUCCCGGGAGUGGAGGACCACCAGGUUGCCUAAGGAGGGGUGAACCAGGCCAGGUCGGAAAUGGAGCAGGUCAAAACUCCUGUGCUGAUCAGCAAUGGGAUGGCACCUGUGAAUAGCCACUGCACUCCAGCCUGGGCAACAUAGGGAGACCCUGUCUCU